This 71-nucleotide transfer RNA is filed under the name Cordylochernes scorpioides. RNAcentral's name for it is "tRNA-Gly". Lineage: Eukaryota; Metazoa; Arthropoda; Arachnida; Pseudoscorpiones; Chernetidae. The record is from RNAcentral.
UGCAUCGGCUGGGAAUCGAACCCGGGACGCCCGCGUGGCAGGCGAGCAUCCUACCACUAAACCACCGAUGC